UGCGUGCAAUGCAAGAGACCCGGAUUCGAUCUCUGGAAAUCCAGAGGCAGGGGGUGGAUCCAGCAGACAUGCAUUCUGCUGCAAGUAACACCAAUCUCACCACUGGUAUCAUCAUCCACGGCUGUGAUGAUUCUGCAUAACAAACACCCCAAACACUUUAUUCUUUCGAAUAUGGAGUUGUUGCAGGUCAGCUGGCCUGGCGUGGUCGUGGCUGGGUGGUUCUGCUGAUCUUGGCUGGCCCCAUCCACUGCCGGCUGUUAGCUGGAGGUCUGCUGAC
Molecule: long non-coding RNA, 277 nt
Organism: Dama dama (fallow deer)
Lineage: Eukaryota; Metazoa; Chordata; Mammalia; Artiodactyla; Cervidae
Exons: 3
Source: RefSeq, a predicted model, not a curated record